Molecule: ribosomal RNA, 252 nt
Filed under: uncultured bacterium
Lineage: Bacteria
Description: partial 16S ribosomal RNA
Rfam family: Bacterial small subunit ribosomal RNA
Source: RNAcentral
UACGUAGGGGGCAAGCGUUGUCCGGAUUUAUUGGGCGUAAAGAGCGUGUAGGCGGUUUGGUAGGUCCGCUGUGAAAACUCGAGCUCAACCUCGAGACGCCGGUGGAAACCAUCAGACUAGAGUCCGGAAGAGGAGAGUGGAAUUCCUGGUGUAGCGGUGAAAUGCGCAGAUAUCAGGAGGAACACCGAUGGCGAAGGCAGGUCUCUGGGCCGCAACUGACGCUGAGGAGCGAAAGCAUGGGGAGCGAACAGG